GACGAACGCUGGCGGCGUGCUUAACACAUGCAAGUCGAACGGUAAGGCCCCUUCGGGGGUACACGAGUGGCGAACGGGUGAGUAACACGUGAGUAACCUGCCCUUGACUUUGGGAUAACUUCAGGAAACUGGGGCUAAUACCGGAUAGGAGCUCCUGCUGCAUGGUGGGGGUUGGAAAGUUUCGGCGGUUGGGGAUGGACUCGCGGCUUAUCAGCUUGUUGGUGGGGUAGUGGCUUACCAAGGCUUUGACGGGUAGCCGGCCUGAGAGGGUGACCGGCCACAUUGGGACUGAGAUACGGCCCAGACUCCUACGGGAGGCAGCAGUGGGGAAUAUUGCACAAUGGGCGGAAGCCUGAUGCAGCAACGCCGCGUGCGGGAUGACGGCCUUCGGGUUGUAAACCGCUUUCGCCUGUGACGAAGCGUGAGUGACGGUAAUGGGUAAAGAAGCACCGGCUAACUACGUG
RNAcentral lists this ribosomal RNA (464 nucleotides) under uncultured bacterium. Its description in RNAcentral is "partial 16S ribosomal RNA". It matches the Rfam family "Bacterial small subunit ribosomal RNA", at positions 28 to 507 of the family's 1533-position model. The record is from RNAcentral.